AUGAACGCUGGCGGCGUGCCUAAUACAUGCAAGUCGAGCGAACGGACGAGAAGCUUGCUUCUCUGAUGUUAGCGGCGGACGGGUGAGUAACACGUGGAUAACCUACCUAUAAGACUGGGAUAACUUCGGGAAACCGGAGCUAAUACCGGAUAAUAUUUUGAACCGCAUGGUUCAAAAGUGAAAGACGGUCUUGCUGUCACUUAUAGAUGGAUCCGCGCUGCAUUAGCUAGUUGGUAAGGUAACGGCUUACCAAGGCAACGAUGCAUAGCCGACCUGAGAGGGUGAUCGGCCACACUGGAACUGAGACACGGUCCAGACUCCUACGGGAGGCAGCAGUAGGGAAUCUUCCGCAAUGGGCGAAAGCCUGACGGAGCAACGCCGCGUGAGUGACGAAGGUCUUCGGAUCGUAAAACUCUGUUAUUAGGGAAGAACAUAUGUGUAAGUAACUGUGCACAUCUUGACGGUACCUAAUCAGAAAGCCACGGCUAACUACGUG
Molecule: ribosomal RNA, 496 nt
Filed under: uncultured bacterium
Lineage: Bacteria
Description: partial 16S ribosomal RNA
Rfam family: Bacterial small subunit ribosomal RNA
Source: RNAcentral